RNAcentral lists this ribosomal RNA (160 nucleotides) under Miconia urticoides. RNAcentral describes it as "5.8S ribosomal RNA". It matches the Rfam family "5.8S ribosomal RNA". From Rfam's summary of the family: 5.8S ribosomal RNA (5.8S rRNA) is a component of the large subunit of the eukaryotic ribosome. Lineage: Eukaryota; Viridiplantae; Streptophyta; Magnoliopsida; Myrtales; Melastomataceae. The record is from RNAcentral.
CGACUCUCGGCAACGGAUAUCUCGGCUCUUGCAUCGAUGAAGAACGUAGCGAAAUGCGAUACUUGGUGUGAAUUGCAGAAUCCCGCGAACCAUCAAAUCUUUGAACGCAAGUUGCGCCCGAAGCCAUUCGGCCGAGGGCACGCCUGCCUGGGUGUCGUGA